GCGACCUACCCAUGAGCAGGAUGAAGCGAAAGUAAAAUUUCGUGGAGGUCCGAACCCACGAGCGUUGAAAAGCUCGGGGAUGACUUGUGGGUAGCGGUGAAAUUCCAAUCGAGCCCGGAGAUAGCUGGUUCUCCCCGAAAUAGCUUUAGGGCUAGCCUCAAGGUGAGAGAUACGGAGGUAGAGCACUGAAUGUCCUAGGGGGUAUUGCACCUACCGAAGACUAUCAAACUCCGAAUGCCGUCAUCUUAUACUUGGGAGUCAGACUGUGGGUGAUAAGAUUCAUAGUCGAAAGGGCAACAGCCCAGAUCGUCAGCUAAGGUCCCUAAAUGUAAGUUAAGUGGUAAAGGAUGUGGGAUUGCACAGACAACCAGGAUGUUGGCUUAGAAGCAGCCACUCAUUCAAAGAGUGCGUAAUAGCUCACUGGUCGAGUGAUCCUGCGCCGAAGAUUUCCGGGGCUAAAACUUACUACCGAAGCUACGGCAUCAGUAAUGAUGGGUAGGGGAGCUUCCCAUACGGGUUGAAGCAUGACCGUAAGGACAUGUGGACAGUAUGGGAGUGAGAAUGUUGGCAUGAGUAGCGAGAUGUGGGUGAGAAUCCCACAGGCCGUAAACCCAAGGUUUCCAGGGGAAGGUUCGUCCGCCCUGGGUUAGUCGGGACCUAAGCUGAGGCCGAAAGGCGUAGGUGAUGGACAACAGGUUGAUAUUCCUGUACUACCGAUAACCGUUUGAGAGAAGGGAUGACACAGUAGGAUAAGCUAAGCACACUGUUGGUUAUGUGUGCCCAAGCAUUGAGGCAGUCAAAGUAGGCAAAUCCGCUUUGAUAAUGCUGGGAUGUGAUGGGGAGCGAAAUUUAGUAGCGAAGUAGCUGAUUUCACACUGUCAAGAAAAGUCUCUAUCGAGGUUAAAGGUACCCGUACCGCAAACCGACACAGGUGGGUGAGGAGAGUAUCCUAAGGCCAGCGAGAGAACUGUUGUUAAGGAACUCGGCAAAAUGACCCCGUAACUUAGGGAUAAGGGGUGCCACCAUCAGGUGGCCGCAGAGAAUAGGCCCAAGCGACUGUUUACCAAAAACAUAGGUUUCUGCUAAGUCGCAAGACGAUGUAUAGGAGCUGACGCCUGCCCGGUGCUGGAAGGUUAAGGGGAUCUGUUAGAGCAAUCGAAGCAGUGAACUUAAGCCCCAGUAAACGGCGGCCGUAACUAUAACGGUCCUAAGGUAGCGAAAUUCCUUGUCGGGUAAGUUCCGACCCGCACGAAAGGCGUAACGAUUUGGGCACUGUCUCAACAACAGACUCGGUGAAAUUGUAAUUCC
RNAcentral lists this ribosomal RNA (1308 nucleotides) under Clostridioides difficile. Its description in RNAcentral is "partial 23S ribosomal RNA". It matches the Rfam family "Bacterial large subunit ribosomal RNA", at positions 725 to 2051 of the family's 2925-position model. The record is from RNAcentral. Lineage: Bacteria; Bacillati; Bacillota; Clostridia; Peptostreptococcales; Peptostreptococcaceae.